Ananas comosus (pineapple) is the source of this 1044-nucleotide long non-coding RNA. RefSeq lists it as uncharacterized. The transcript has 3 exons. Lineage: Eukaryota; Viridiplantae; Streptophyta; Magnoliopsida; Poales; Bromeliaceae. The record is from RefSeq and is a predicted model, not a curated record.
UGCUGAAUUCUUGGUUAAGAAUGAUGCUAGCUACUCUAGGAGAGGACUUUAAAUGAUUAUAGGCUAGUAGUAGUAUGUAAACAGCCUAGAGAUUACAUUAAAAACAGCAUAUAUGUACAUAGGUGUGUAUUUACACUAGUUGCUAGGGAUGAAACCUAGGUUGGAUUAGCUCUAAUUUCUGAGUAGUAGGGAUGUUAUUUCCUGUAUAAGGAAGUUAAACCUUGAGUGCUUGGACUUCUAGAGGUUAUAGUACUAUAGAGAACCUAUAGUAUGUUAUUAGUUGCAUAAUAUGUGUGUAUGUAUAUACAUAUAUGUAUAUAUGUAUAAUGUUAAGAAUGAAAUCUGGAGUAAAGUAGCUUUAAAGAUUGAACAAAGAAAAUGAAUUCCUUGCUGUAGAGAGGUGCUAAACAGGAGUUUCUAGGUUGUAAAGUUAGUAUAGUUAUGUGAUCAGCCUAGAACUAUACAGGGAUAGCAUGUAUUCAUAUAUGUAUAUAUACAAAUGGCUGAUGAUUAGGGAUGGAACCUAAGUUCAAUUGAUUUCGAAUUCUAAAUUAGAAUGAUGUUAAUAAUCCCUGUUUAAAGAAGUUCUUUGCUGUAAAGAAGUAGUAAAGAAGUGGUUGCGUGUAGAUUUAAUUGAGCAGCAGAUCAGGGAAUUGCUGGUUUGGUGGACUUCUGGGCGCCCAAACUGAGAGGAAGCCUAGUGAAGCUUCAAAUCAGGUCGGCGACUCACUAAUUAUGGUAGAAGCCAAUUCAGCUCUAAUUGCAUCGAGUCGCGCGAUAUUGUUCUUGAUACACUUCGAGACGUGAGAUCUUAGUUGUUGACACCACUACAGGUUCCAGCGCGAGCGUUGUGGCCGAGGAUCGCGGCAAGAGCCGAGCAGCCUAGCUAGUGGACACCCGAGUUCUAGUGGUAUACCAUUUUGGUUUCAUAUUGUACGUAAUGAUGAACAGAGAGAUAUGUAAAUGAAAAUGUAAAUGAUGUAAAUAACUAAAUGUUCAGUUAUUCAGUUAUAUAUAGUUCAGUGUUAAACGUUUUAAAUUACA